Molecule: long non-coding RNA, 633 nt
Filed under: Panax ginseng (ginseng)
Lineage: Eukaryota; Viridiplantae; Streptophyta; Magnoliopsida; Apiales; Araliaceae
Description: long non-coding RNA (PGIN_LNC017741)
Source: RNAcentral
GGCGAGAAUUUGGCAAAUGAAACGGUCGGAACCUUAUCAUCAAUAAGAGUCUUCAAGCAGGCGCCCGAAGCCGCAUCCCAAAUUUUACAAGACCCGUCGUGACUGCCGGAAAUAAUCAGCGAUCCAUCUCGAUUGAAGUGGACGGAACAAGCAGGCGCCCGAAGCCGCAUCCCAAAUUUUACAAGACCCGUCGUGACUGCCGGAAAUAAUCAGCGAUCCAUCUCGAUUGAAGUGGACGGAAGUUACCGGCAUCGAGUGCGCCUGGAUAACGUGGACGGGCCGACCACUUUUGACAUCCCAAACCCUAAUAGUCUCAUCAAAAGAACCGGAGACGAUGAGAUUGGAUUGGGGGCUGAAAUUGACGCAGAAAACGAAAUUGGUGUGGCCGCGUAGGGUUUUAACGCACUCGGAGGUGAAUGCGUCCCAGAUACGGAGGGUUUUGUCGUCGGAGGUGGAGCAGAUAUAGUGGGAGGCAGAGGACCAGGCGAGGUCGUUGAUGCCUUCGGAGUGGCCGACGAGGGUGGAGAUUUUGGAGAGGGUUUCGGUGGACCAGAUGAUGAGGGUUUUGAAGGAGAUAUGGCUAUUGAGGGAGAUAGGGCUCGACUGUAUUUUCUAAACUGAGGGACAUUUUCG